CAAACAAUAGAGAUAACAAUUUUGUCAGCGGAGAAUCUCCAAGAAAACAAAAAAGCCAUAAAAGGAAACACAUUUGUCACGGUUCAAUGUGACGGAAGCAAUAAUGAAGUGAGCACCACGAAACUUGAUUCUGAAGGCGGAAGUUAUCCUACAUGGAACGAGAAGGUAGUGAUCGACAUGCCAUUACAUGCAAGGUUCGUUACAAUAGAGGUGAAGUACAAAACUAGAGGAAGUAGUAGUAAUAGUGUUGGAAUAGCUAGAGUACCUGUUUCCGAUUUUGUUGGAGGGUAUGUACAUGAAAAUCAACUGCAAUUUUUAAGUUAUAGGUUGUGGGAUAAUAGAGUUAUGAGAAAUGGGGUUGUAAAUAUUUCAGUGAAGGUAAAAAUGUCCCAACAAAAUUCUUGCUCGAGUUCGAUGUCAUCGACGAUGAAUGGAGUUCCAGUAACUGGCGUUCCGGUGGCCGGUAAUGGCUCCUGCAGCAGAGUUGCAACAGGGAUUCCUGCUGUUUGGUUAAAAUACCAAAGACACAUUUGAAAGGCUACAUUGUAAUCAUCAUGUACAUUAAAAACAGAAAGCAUACAUUUCCAUACUGACAAUACACGUGGGAAUUAAAUUUGUCUCAAUUUGUAUAUUUAUUUCAUGUUCUUCUUUUUUUUGUUUGCAUUUAUUUCAUGUUCUUUUAACAUUAUAUCAAGGGUCUUGUUAACGAGUGUCCUUUGAGCACUCUGCAUUCUAAAUCAAGAAAUUAUUCUUUAAAAAGUGAAAUAGUUCAAUUUCCAAGGCCUUGAAUACAUAAUUUUUCAUAAAAAGUUUACAAAUCAUUUUUGUUAAUAGUUUUUUUCUUUUAUCAGUUUUACAACUCAACACUAAAUAUUGAGGUAAGAGAUAAAAUAUAUACAAAAGGAUGAGUUGUUCGGAACAACUCAAGUUUUUUUUUCUUAAACAAGACAAAAUGAGAUAUAUUAACAAAAAAUUCUGCUCCCUAUAACAAGGAAUGCAAAGAGAAGCAGAACAAAAUUACAACAAUCAAUCCUUCUGAAUCAAAAUAGUGGUAAACAACGGUCAACCAAUCCUCAAACAAACAAGGAGUUGCUGCCACCACAUAUGGUAACCAAAAGGAAAGCAAACAUUUUUCGCUUUCAACCACGUAAGUGAAGUGAUUUUUACCUUUUCCAUAAGCUGCACAACCAAUUUUACAUUAUUAGAGAACAACUGUUUGUUUCGUUCAUUCCAAAGAAUCUAAAUACAACAAAGUCAAAUCAUAUUUAAGAAUGAACGACAAGGAGUGUAUCCUCCUGAAGAGUAUAUGAAUGGAUGAAAAUGAUCCAUAACAUGUUGGAGAUCCACAUAAUACACACCAAACCAGCUCUUCAAGUGUUGCCAAAGAGAACCAAAAGUAGAAUAAUGUAUUAAUAGAUGUUAUGCUGUUUCAUUUUGGCCACACCCUGAAACACACAAUAAAGAGUCUGGGGAAUGACUUCACGACGCCCUAAGUUAUCCUUCGUAGGCCACCUGUUGUGGAAUAGACGCCACACACAGAUAGAAAUCUUUAAAGGAACACUUUUAUGCCACACCGCUUCUGAAAUGUCGUCAUGGUCGUGCAUCUCUUGCCGCAUGAGCAUUUGAUACACCCCACGAACUGUGUAGCUAUCUGUUAACACAAAAAAUAAAAUAUUUGGUCGAACUCAUAAUUCUAUUUUCGACAAGGCAGAUGUGUUAUUUCGACAUGCUGCAAAGUGCAAAGAGAUUUCGACCAAGAACAUACAGACUUCGACAUGCUGCAUUUUCAACAAAGUAAUUUAAUAUAUUUCAUGCAUGUGGCUAAUGAAGCCUUGGAGAACCAUUAGUUUAUCAAGUGAUUCAUUUUUGUGGGAAGAGCCUUGGAGAAAUGAAGAAAUUAUUAGCACAAUACGUGAUGUAACAUGAUUAUGCAAGAUCCAAUGUCUAAAGAUUUAGUAUACCUCAACGUGGACAUGGUACUUGUAACAAUAAUAAGGCAAAGUCGAAUAUGCGGUGACAAACAAGACUGAAGUGCAUUGAAGAUUAUUUCCUAGUGUCUUAGGAAGUUAUUUCUACUUUCAAUAUAGACUGUAGGAUUUAGUGUUAGUUUUCUCUACAAGGUCUAUAUAUAUCAGUUUGUAAUAAUAACAAUGGGUUGGUUUCUUGAUUUUUGAAAACUCUGUAACACCCACGCCAUGGGAGCAAACGGGUUCAGGAGUGGAGAGAUUGACAGAUUCCGACCACCCUUUACAUUCCUAUAAUUUAAUACCAAUGUUCUUGUUUUACUUUCCUUUUUCUUUUGCAUUUCUUUUCAUCUUUACUCUAUUUCUUUUUAUUUUUAACAUGCUCACUUGAGCAAUUUUCUAUCAUGUUGUCAUGAGACAACUUGUUAUUACAAGAUGUUGGAAGCAAUUCUGACAUUAAUGUUCUUAAAGAAUGCAUGAAGUGAUGUCUUAAACCGCGAAGCUUGAACGAUCCCCUUUAAAAAUACAUUUGUUAUCAUCGACGGCAAAUGAAGUUUACGUUACCAAAAAUCGGUGUAAACACUAUCUCCUGCAUUCGGGAUCUGCCAACGGUAUUUGAUUGAAAGAGUGCGGUACCGGUACGAAAGGGAGCUAGCUAAGGCAGCAAGCCAAGAAAGGCAGAAUAUUAGGCCUUUUUUUUAGAAAGGAAGCCAACUCUUGAUUCUGAACUUCGUUCGCGAAGGAACCGGAUGUUUGACGGGCCAGCCCUUUUUUAUGCGCCGCUUUACCCUGAAAGGAUAAUUAGCUUUGCGUCAAACAUCUGAAAAAAUAAAUUAUCAACUGGAUUAAGCUCACGGGAUUAAUGAUGAAUGAUCUUUAUUAAACAAAUAAAUUACAUGACUCUCAAUAAUUUUACCUUUUCCGACAGUUGGUAUGUAUUGUUUUAAUCUUCUUUUAAUUGACUAUUAAUCCAGUCUCCAUUAUCUUUUAUUAGUUUAUGUUACAUUUUUAUAAAAUGUUUUUAAAGUUUAUAAAAUGAUUUGUAAACAGCAAGGAAGAUAUCAUACUUCUAACCACCAUCCCAUCCCUUCUUUAAAUAAUCAUUCCACAUUGAUUAAAGUGAGUUUUAUCUAUCAAAAUUAGCACAAGUUUGAACGUGGACAUACAUGUUUAUGUCUCACAUAUAAAAUACAACUUAUUUCUACAUUUUUUCAUGUCAAAAUUCUUAGCCAUUUGCAACACCUAUUGUUGUUAUUUGAACCAACACGAGUUGCUACUUAUUUAAUUAUUACAUGAAUGAGAGGCAACAAUGCAUCUUUUGGCCACGUAUUGACGUGAGAUUGAUCUUCUGACUGGUCUAGAAUAGAUGGUAUUUAAUUUCAUUAUAUCUGCCGCAUUUUUUUAGUCCAUGGUCUGUCUCCUUACCCACUAGCCCCAAUUUAUUUAAUGUACUACGAAUGCAACAAGGGAAGGAAACAUCCUUCAAGCAUGCACCAUUAUUCUUCUCCAAUCAAAUCUUGAUUCUUAAUUUCUUAUCAUCCUAGAUCUUCCAAACUCAUUUUUGGCUUCAUUCAUACACUCUGAUAUGGACAAAGAUAGUGGGGCACAUCAUUGAUAUUGAUCCAUAUACAUUAAUAUUAAUUUAAAAUUAUAAAAAUGAUUGAAUGUCUAUAGUUUCCAAAAUUACAACAUUUCCAGUAUUUUUCUCUUGACGAAUCCCUAAUUGUCUCUUAAGGGGUCAACCACUGUGUUUCCAAGGAAAAAGAGGUGACGACUUAAGUUUAGAACGGUCAUUAUUCAUGAAUUGGAAAUUAGGAAGCACUUAUUGUCAUUGUAAAAUGAACGAGUCAAACAAAAUAAAACAAAAGAUCGAACUUUUCUCCCCUUGAACUUACAAAACAACGCAAGGCAACUUCUUCAUAAAAUCUUUCAAAGUUGAUCAAAGUAUAGUCUUUAUAAUUAAAAAACAUAUUACUGAAAUUGUAAAUCAAAAGGAGAAUUUCAUAUUCGAUGAGUCUAUGCUAGAUUUGUUGGGUUAAGAUCCUCUCCAUUUAAUAGUUCCAUGUUGGAUAGUGAGUUAUUCUUCAUCUUACAUACUAUGUUGUAUAGUUUAGUUAGACCCGAUCUAAAAAAUUUAAAAUGGUAUGAGAGCCUAUCCAAGAUCUGUUAUCAGAUCACUGCCAUCAGACCACUCGAUUUACGCUACAAAUGUCUUGUCCUGGAAGCCAUCAGUUAUCAUAUUAUAGAUGCGAAGUUUUCAUAACCGUUGGUUAACGAUGAAUAAUCCCUAUUGGAAAACCUAUUGCACACGAAGUAUAUUCUCUCCUCUUAUUAUUUUGACCAAUCUAUUGUUUAUGUGAAGUGAUGGUUUUACUUGCAUGUUUGAGUUUUGUUUUUAAAAAGGCAAAAUGAAGCAUAUUUUUGAAACGGACAAAGAAAUACCGAAAUUGUUGUUCACACAUGUGUUUAAGCUGAAACACACUAAUAAAAGACCGAAAUACCCCUUCGACAGUUAACUGCCGCGGAACUCCAAAUCUAAAAUUAUAGAGGAUGCAGAUCUGAAACAAUAAAUGAAAUUCGUCUCAGUAUUCUCUCCUGCAAGAAAAGACAAUAAGAUCCAACAAAAACAUGAUCAUGGAGUGUGGGCAUGUAACCACUAACUUGGAAAAAGAAAGUUCAAACCAGAAAGACAUGACUAUCUAGCUUUUAAUAGUAAUAUAUAAAACCUUCUGAUGAUGAUCAUAUUGCAGAAUAAUCUCACUCUAUAUUUUCAUAGUAAUGCUGAAAUAAUCUCAGUCUACAUUAUUAAUUUAUAAGUGCAUAUACAAAUUCAAACUUUUGAUGUGGUGCUGAGUCUGUACUCUUACUACAGAACAAAACAUUGACAUUCAGGGGAAGAAGAUAGCAGAAAAACACCAGUAUUGCUCCGCAGCAGUUAGCUGCUGAAGUUUCUGUGGUAGUUAACUGCCAAAGGGGUAUUUCAGUAUUUUAUUGGUGUGUAUAAGCUUAAACACAUGUGUGAACAUCAAUUUUCAAGAUGUGCAAGGACCAUAUUUGAGUAUUGAGUUUUUUCUUUGGAAAAAAAGAUUUUUUUGAACCAAAUUUUUCUCUAUUCGUAUUCUAAUUUUGUAGUGUUAAAUGAGCUCUCGUAAAACGAAUUCGGGUUCGAUUUCUAGAAGCCGCAAUUAUUAACAUAAUUUUACUUAUCUUUCGAACGAACUCUGAAUUAUUAAAAGGAGAAAACUUAGGUAUAAUUCUUUGGGUGCUUUUCGUAUGGUUCUUAACUAAAAAUACAUAUUUUUUGGAUAUAACAAAACUUUGAGAAAAUUAUGAAUUUGAGGAAAUCAUCGUGAAUUUAGUUAAUAACCAUACGAAAAGCAUCUAAGAAAUUGUACCUAAGUUUUCUCCUUAUUAAAACUCCCUUACCUUGAAAACUGAAGAAUCGGAGAGCUAACACAAAAAAUGCUAAUUAUUAAGUUAGUUACAUAAUAAAGAAUAAUUCCCAACCUUAAGCUUUACAAUAAGUCAAAAAUCCCUUUAAAAAAAAGGAAAUGUUAACGAAUGUCUCGGAGCACUCUUUAAUAACUAUUAAUAGUAAAAAAUUUAUGAAAAAUUGUAAAAUCAAUGUAUUGGAAUUUGUAAAAUUUAAUUUCUUUAAAAAAUAUUUUUUAAAUUUGAGAUUCUAAAAGAGUGCUAUGAGACACUCGUUAAUUAAAACCCUAAAAAAAAAAGUUGAAUAUUCAUGCAAACAUAACCGAAAUUUCCAAGUACAUUCCGCCGUCACAUAUAUUUAACGUUCCAUAUCAACUUGAAUUGUCAAACACUUUCUUUUCACCGUCCAAACCACGCGCCGAUUUUUCCAACUUCUCAAUUCCACGUUAAAAAUGAACCAACCACUCUCUUUCUGUCUUGUUUCUCUCAUGUUUCUCUAAACUCACAUAUAUAUAUAGAUAGCACAAUCCUCCCCUUCUCUUCAAUCAACCUUCAACUCCCCAAUUUCUCUACACUCUCAAAUCAUACUAUUUCAUAAGGGAAUUGGUCUCUAUAGUUACACGAGAUAUCUUAAAACACUAAUAUAAAAUGUCGCAAACAAUAGAGAUAACAAUUUUGUCAGCGGAGAAUCUUCAAGAGAACAAAAAAGCCAUAAAAGGAAACACAUUUGUCAUGGUUCAAUGUGACGGAAGCAAUAAUGAAGUGAGCACCACGAAACUUGAUUCUGAAGGCGGAAGUUAUCCUACAUGGAACGAGAAGGUAGUGAUCGACGUGCCAUUACAUGCAAGGUUCGUAACAAUAGAGGUGAAGUACAAAACAAGAGGAAGUAGUAAUAGUGUUGGAAUAGCUAGAGUACCUGUUUCCGAUUUUGUUGGAGGGUAUGUACAUGAAAAUCAAUUGCAAUUUUUAAGUUAUAGGUUGUGGGAUAAUAGAGUUAUGAGAAAUGGGGUUGUAAAUAUUUCAGUGAAGGUAAAAAUGUCCCAACAAAAUUCUUGCUCGAGUUCGAUGUCAUCGACGAUGAAUGGAGUUCCAGUAACUGGCGUUCCGGUGGCCGGUAAUGGCUCCUGCAGCAGAGUUGCAACAGGGAUUCCUGCUGUUUGGUUAAACUACCAAAGACACAUUUGAAAGGGUACUUUGUAAUCAUCAUGUAUAUUAAAAACAGAAAGCAUACAUUUCCAUAUUGACAAUACACGUGGGAAUUAUUUAUGUCUCAAUUUGUAUAUUUAUUUCAAUGUUCUUUAAUAUUACAUCAAUCAGUAUUGCAAUUUAAACAUGAUCAAACUCAACACUAAAUAUUAAGGUAAGAGAUAAAAUAUGUAUCAAAGGAUGAAUCGUUCAAGACAACCCAAAUUUAGAAUUUAAUAAGUAAAUAUUUGUAAUAACAAUUACUCCAUAUAUUAACAUUUGUUAUUAAAAAAAGAGAUUGAUAUUGAUACGUAAAUAUGUCAGUGCACAUCAGAUACAUAUGUUCUAUACGAGUGUUGACUUGACUUAAAUCCUAUAUGUUGACCAAUUUUAGAAAUUGCUCCUAUAGAAAUUUAGUAUUUUUUUUUUCUCUUGACGCAUCCCUGAUUGUCUCUUAAGAAUGGGUCAACCAUUAAGUUUCCCAGGAACAAGGGGAGCUGACUUAGUUUAGAAAUUAGAAAGUACCAACUCUCAUUGUAAAAUGAAAGAAUCAAACAAAUAAAACAACAGAUUGGAACUUUAAGCAACAACACAAGGGAACUUCUUGAUUUUUAUAACAAAAAUCAUCCAAAGUUGAUCAAAGUAUAACAAAUUGUAUUUAAAACGACAACCGGUAGUAAUUAAUUGUAACUUUAAGUUUGAAUUUAGAAUUUCUUAAAUAUUUAUGCAUAAAUUUCAUCAAUUUUUGUUGUAUUUUAAAAAUGACCAAUGUUAAUAUAUAGUUAGUCGUCAUAAUCCACUUGAAGUGUGCUUUUCAUCAAGGUCGUGAUUAUCUUUGGUACUAAUUUGGGUGAGUUAGUUUAACUUCUUUAAAAAAAAAAAAUAGUUAGUCAUCAUUAAAAAGUUAGUCAUCGCUUUAAAAAAAAUAGUUAGUCGUCAUUUUUAUUAUAUUUUUUAUCGCCAAACCAGGAGAAAUGACAUGCAUCAAAAGAAAACAUCGAUAUCCCAAUUAGGUUGGCACCCCGAUAAACCCCAUCCUCUACCGCAAAAUUCAAAAUAUUAUUAAAAAAGGGGGAAAAAAUUUACAAGAGGGGAGACUAUACCAAAACCCUUAAAAAAAACAAAAACAGAAAAAAAACAACCGUCUAGAGAAACCUAUAACGAGGCAUACCACAACAGUCUGAAUAAAAAUUCGCUUGCAAGUCAGGAGGUAGAACCGACAACUACACUGCCCCAUGAGUCGAGUGACCCAUAUUAGCCAACUUAUCAGCACAACAAUUACCUCUCUCAUUAGUACAAAUUCGUGACUCCAAUACCAUGUCAAUACCAAGAAGGGACAUAUACAAAAUUGACCAUAGGUUCAGCAAAAAAAAUGAGAACAAGCUUAUGAGAAAAAAGAAAAAGAAAAAUUAAGGCAAAUUUUGUGCCCGAGUUACCGAAGCCGCGAACAUUUCAAUACAAAACAAUCAUUGAUCAGUUAGAGAGGUAUCACCCCUAGAACGGGUUUUGUAUGGCUUACCAAUAGUAGUUUUCUUCAGAUGAUCAUGCUUCUGUUUCUUACUUAGAACUGGAAUAAAUGGCAAUUCAACUGACUUUUGAUCAUAUUCACGAAUACGGCGCCAUAACUUCAUGUCUAGCUGAAUUCUCGGAUUACUCUGAAUGGCUUCAUGUGUUGUCUGCGCCAAACUAUCUGGGGCCGCAUCUUGCACCAAAGACUCAAUCUGAGACUUCUCCUCAGUAACUGUUGCGAAAACCGAAGCCCUGAGAGGGCCAGUUGGGGAACCAAAAUGCACGUCAUGGUGCUCUACAACACGAUGAUCUGUAUGAACCGGUGGCACCUCCAUACCUACCGGAAGAAACCAAUUCAACAAACCUCUCUAGCACAUCAUCGUGCGCUACAGGGGAUGAACGUGUCGCAGUCGCAUCCAAAACCUUGGGACUCUUCACCAGCUUCCGUGGUUGCAAAUGCUCCUCUUCACUUUUCAUACAUACUUUUAUUUUGACAAGUAAUUAUAUUUUUUAAUAUAGUUACACAUAAUAAAAAACACAGUAUUUUUCUUUAUUCUUAACCUAAUAAUGAAAUACCAAUAAAUGUUUAGACGAGUUACACUGGUUUCUUCUAACUUAACCAAGGUCCUGAGUUUGAAAACCAAGGUCAUAAGUUCGAAUACAAUAUUGAACAUGAGUUAACACUAAAAUUCUUUAGGAGAGUUUGCCGCCUAUUUAAAUCUCAUAAAACUUGACUAAUUAAUUUUCGUAGUUACACGCCUACCCGAUUUCAAAACAAAAAAAAAAAAGAAACUAAUAAUAAAAAGUUCCUACUAAUUUCCACCGUCAAAUAUAACGGCCACAUUUUUUUAACGCUCUCAUUCAACUUGAAUUGUCACCUUUAUUUAUUUUUUUUAAGAAAGAAGAAUGUUACCCUUUAUUUUAUUUUUCGUUCAAACCACGCGCCGUAUUUCUAACAGCUCAAAUCUAAACCUUUUUUUUUUCUUUUGUUUUUGUCUGCUAAAUUUCGGUUCAAAAAAACAAAAAAGCCCCCAACUAUUGAAAAGAAACAACCACCCUCUUUCUAUCUCCUUUCUUUCAUGUUUCUCAAAACUCCACAUAUAUAUAAACACCAUCCUCCCCUUCUCUUCAAUUCAACCUUUCAAUUCCUCAAAUAUUUCUAUAUCCAUUAUUUCAUCCUAUUUCUAAUCCUUCACACUUUUCUUUUCCACAAUAAAAUUUAGGUGACCCUCAUCAUCAAUUUUUUGUUCACAUAUUGAAAAAUAAAAUUAUUUUGAGAGAUUAGUCUCUAAUUGUUGGCCGAAUACGUGAAGUCACCCUAAAGAUUUACUUAUUACUUGUGAAACAAUAAACUAUAGCAUUUCAUUUUUCACAUACUUUGAGUUUAAAGGAAUUAUUCUCUAGCUUCCGAUUGAGAUAUCUUGAAACACUUACAUAAAAUGUCACGAACAAUAGAGAUAACAAUUUUGUCAGCGGAGAAUCUUCAAGAGAACAAAAAAGCCAUAAAAGGAAACACAUUUGUCACGGUUCAAUGUGACGGAAGCAAUAAUGAAGUGAGCACCACGAAACUUGAUUCUGAAGGCGGAAGUUAUCCUACAUGGAACGAGAAGGUAGUGAUCGACGUGCCAUUACAUGCAAGGUUCGUUACAAUAGAGGUGAAGUACAAAACUAGAGGAAGUAGUAGUAAUAGUGUUGGAAUGGCUAGAAUACCGGUUUCCGAUUUUGUUGGAGGGUAUGUACAUGAAAAUCAAUUGCAAUUUUUAAGUUAUAGGUUGUGGGAUAAUAGAGUUAUGAGAAAUGGGGUUGUAAAUAUUUCUGUGAAGGUAAAAAUGUCCCAACAAAAUUCUUGCUCGAGUUCGAUGUCAUCGACGAUGAAUGGAGUUCCAGUAACUGGCGUUCCGGUGGCCGGUAAUGGCUCCUGCAGCAGAGUUGCAACAGGGAUUCCUGCUGUUUGGUUAAACUACCAAAGACACAUUUGAAAGGGUACUUUGUAAUCAUCAUGUAUAUUAAAAACAGAAAGCAUACAUUUCCAUAUUGACAAUACACGUGGGAAUUAUUUAUGUCUCAAUUUGUAUAUUUAUUUCAAUGUUCUUUUAAUAUUACGUCAAUCAGUAUUGCAAUUUAAACAUGAUCAAAAUCAACACUAAAUAUUAAGGUAAGAGAUAAAAUAUGUAUCAAAGGAUGAAUCGUUGAAGACAAUCCGAAUUUUAGACCUCUUAAUAUGUAAAAAUUAAUUUGAAUCUUAACUACUCAUAUAUUCAUAUAGAUCAUUUCUAAGAUUUUACGUAAAUAUGAAAUUAUUUGAUAUGAUAUUUUAUGAGAUGCAUAAAUAAUUUUCUAUUUAUAUAAAAUUUUAUAGAGAUGUCUAUAUGAUAUAAAACUUGAUCAGACAAUUGUUAGGGUCAGCGAGUGAAUUGAUGUUUUCCUCAAAACAGUAGACAAUGACACAAAAAUUUGAAUUUUGAUGUAUAAUUCCGCGCCUUACCCAAUUAUCUUUAGAUGGUAACUGAUUCUAUAACAAACGUAAAAAAAAUAUUGAUACUUUUAUCCGGACAUUGUUGUUCCAAAUAAUAUUAUGAAAUUCAUUUUUAUGCAUCGGUUCAACUGCCGUAAACAAAUGAUAAAUCUCAUUGACAGUGUAACCUUUGUCAGGUGUUAGUUGUCAAAUCCACCUAUUUUCUAAACAACAUGUAUAGAUAGGUUAGAUAAAAGCUCAUGAAAUUCUGGCAUGCUAGCUUCCUGAUGUUGUAUGUAAUGUUCCAAUAUUGAGACACAGUUGGAAUGUUGAGUAUAAUGUUUCAACGUCAGACUAAAGAUAAACAAACAGAACAAGGAAAAUAUAAAUGACAGAAACGUAAAUGGCACAGGUUAUUUGUUAACCCAGUUCGGUGACAAACACACCUACUCCGGAGGCUACCAAACCAGGAAGGAAAUCCGCUAGUGUAGUCCGACCUAGUUCUAAGUUCUCAGCAAACUCCAAGUUUACAACUUAUCACCUAGCUACUACUCGUACUGACUUCAGCCUAGGAACUCCUAGACCUGAGAUCUCAUCUCACUUCCACUCAAUCACACACCCUGUGAUUUCACGUUUACAAUCAAUAUAAUGAAGAUACCUUCAGACACAAACUAACUCCGUACUUCAAAGCUUAGGAGUAGUGUACAAUCUUACAACUCAAUAAACACAGUCCUAAACUUGCAUCAAGGUGACACAAUAAAGGUUCACAAUUAACAGAGACUCAAAACCCUAAAAACUCUAUUUUUAAUAUGACGACUUCAAUUAUGAAUUAUGUUUUAAAUUUGUGUCUUUCCUUAUAUAAUCUGAAGCAGUACGGGCUUGAUAUUCUUAUUGGACUUCACAAAAAAUGUCGAUCCAUGAAUAGAUCCGCUCACAAGAAACAGAACCAAAUCACCAGUUUCCUAAAAUGUUGGAACAUCUUUAGGAGAUAAACACAAGUCUGAUUCUGGUAAAAAAAAAAAAACGCGUCUUCAGCAAGUAAAAAGGCGUAGAUUCCUCAAAUAAUUAAAGUCUGUUAAUUAUGGCACGAAAUCAGAGCACAUUGAAGUCGUACCCACAUGUUGAAACAUUAGGUCCAACAUCUUACUUGUAUAUUUGAUUUAGCAAAAAUGAUGCCAACAUACAAAUAUCCAACAACCCACAACUUUUGAUAUGUGUUCUUUAAACUUCUUUUGAUUGAUUAUUAAUCUAGCCUCCCUUAUUAUUUUUUAUUUUUUUUUGACAAAUAGCCUCCCUUAUUCGACAACUUUAUCUUUCAUAUACACAUUGUUCUUCUACAUUAUCUCUCUAUUGCUUUGAUUUUUAUGUCACUAUCUAAAUUUCUUUGUAUAAUGUGGUUGUCCAACAAAUUAUCACAUAAAAAAGUUGUUCAAAUAACAUUGCUCUUGACAAAAUUAUAAUGACACCAUGGUUUUGUCGAAGCUUUAAAAAUCACCGUGACACACAUCAUGCUUAUGCAAAACUCAUCGCCAAUACAUCUACAUUUUUUAUGUCAAAUUUCGGUCCCAUUUGCAACACCUAUUGUUAUUAUUUGAAUCAACACGAGUUAGUAUUUAUUUAAUUAUUAUAAUAUAGUAUUCCAUCAUUAGUUGUAUCCAAUUGUAUGAUUGUUUUACAAUAAUCCAUGACCUGCCUCCUUACCUACUAGACCCAAUUUAUUUAUUGUACUAUGAAUGCAACAAUGGAAGGAAACAUCCUUGAAGUAUGCACACCAUUAUUUUUUUAAACCAAAUAUUAUUUUCUACCUAAAGCCUCCAAACUCAUUUAAUAAUUAACAUAUUAAUAUUUGUCAUUAAAAAAAAUAUAAAUAUUGAUAUGUUAAUAUCAUAAGAACAAUUUUUUUGGUUACAAUCUAUAAGAACAAUUAAUCUACUAACAUUUAUCAUUAAAAAAAACCAUAGAUAUUGAUACGCACACAUCCAUAAUAUUUUAAAAGAAUAAAAGUGAUUGAAUGUAACAUUAUGGAUAUUGAUACGCAUUUAUCAGUAACAUUGUGUUGUAAUCUCUUAUUAAUAUAUUUCUUGAAAAGACCACAUAUGUUGGAGGAAUAUCAGAUACAUGUUCUAUAUAAAAUGUCUGUGGACAUAAAAUAUUUAUGAGUGUUGACUUGACUUAUAUGCUAUUUGUUGUCCAAUUUUAGAAAUGGUUCCCAUAAAAUAUUUGUAGUAUUUUUCUCUUGACGAAUACUUGAUUGUCUGUUAAGAAGGGGUCAACCAUUGUGUUUCCAAGGAACAAGGGGACUUCUUGAUUUUUAUUACAAAAAUCAUCCAAAAUUGAUCAAAGUUUAUAAUAUAUUAGUGCGAAUGCAAAUCAAAAGGGAAAUUCUUAUUCAACAGUAUUGGAUUUAAUAAUAAUUAAAACAUACCACACGUAAAUUACAUUACAUGUUGGUUAAAUUCAAUAAAAUUUGACAAUGAAUUUACACAUAUGGGUUAGACCCCAACUUGUAAUAUUUUUUUUUUUUUUAAAUAAAAAAAAAUUGGAACGGAAAAUUCUCACACACAUAAACAAAGGGAAUGUUAAAAAGUGGAGAAAUGUUUCGCACACAGUAACAUUUUACUGUCAGAUUUGUAUUUAAAAAGACAACCAAUAGUAAUUAAUUGUAAUUUAAGUUUGAAUUUAGAGUUUCUUAAAUAUUUACACAUAAAUCUCUCUUCUUCUUUUUUUUUAAUUUUAGAAAUGACCAAUGUUAAUAGUUAGUCAAUCCACUUGGAGUGUACUUCUACUCAAUAUUUCAGUUCAGUUCUCUUCAAUGUCAAUUUAAUUGAGUUAGAUGAGCUUCUUUAAACAAAAAUAGUUAAUCAUCAAUAAAAAGUUGCUAAUAUUUAAUAAAUUUUGAUCAAGUCUUGGCCGUUUGAAUAGUAAAUUUUCGUUAUCUUAUCUCUCUUACGAAAUUGUUUCUUUUGUGAAAAAUGUACUCCUCCAUUUUUAUUAUAUGUCACAUUAAAAAAUGUGUUAAAUUAUAAAUCGUUUUACAACACGAAUACAACAUUAAUGUUUUUUUUUAUCAUCCUUUUGUAUUUAUUGUUAUAUUUUCUUUCAAUUCUUUUAAUUUUUCCUUUUUACGACAUUAAUAAAGGAUAACUUCUUAAGUCUGUCAUGACCUAUUCCCUGUCUAUACUCUUUCCUUCUUCGAAGCUCCAUCAAGCAUCAUUUCCUCUAUUGAACCUCUUUUGAUUUUUUGAUUUUUAUUUUUUUGGAGGUGGGGUGAGGAUACUAGGAAAAUUUCUUGGAUCGAUUGCAAUUUGAUUUGUUUGGAUAAAGAGUUUGGGGGUUAGGAGAAUUAGGGAAUUUAAUGUCGCCUUGCUAUGUAAGUGGUGUUGGUGAAUGGUGUAGGAGAGGGAGAGUUUGUGGUUUAAGGUGUCGGCAGUAAGAUAUGGUGUAGAAGGGGGGCGGUUGAAGGAGGGGGGAUAGAAAAUGAUCUAGUUGGUGGAAGGAGGUGGCCUGCAUCCUAGAUAAAGGGGGCAUGCAGGUGGGUGGGUCAUUUGAGGAUAACUUAAGUCGAAAGGUCGGUAAUGACAUUGAUUCUUUUUUUUCUGGACUGUUAGGUGGUUAGAGGAUGAAACUUUUUCUUGUAGGUUUGAACGUCUUUUUGAGUUGUCUGAGACUAAGGGGUUGUCGGUGGCAGAGAUGUUUCGGUUAGGGUGGGAAAGAAUGGUAAGGCGUGGAAGUAGAGGUAGAGGUUGAUGGCGUGGAAGUGGAGGUAGAGGUUGAUGGCGUGGGAGGAGGAGAUGUUAGUGGAGUGUAGGGUUGUUCUUCAUGAUGUGUUUAUGGAGGUGGAUAUUCCACCUAACAAUUUUGGUGGUUAAAGGCAAAAUCUAAUAUUAUUGUUUUUGAUUAUCAUAGGCGGUGGCUUAACUCCUUGUUGUGUGUGGGCAUAGGCUGACUUUGUUUCUUUCCUUGGUUUUGUUCUUGCGGUUUUUGAAACACAUUUAUGUAACUUUAUGAGCUUCUUCCUCGGUACACCUUGUGCUGGAGAGACUAUGGUUUAGCAGUAAUAUUUUUUUUGACAAAAAAUUAGAGAUAUUCAUUCGUUCAAACUGAUAGAGUACAUCGAUAUAAUGCAAAUUCACUAAAAAUAAAAAGGAUGAAUCUGCGAACAAACUCACAACAUCCAUGUUAAUAACAUAAAACGACAAAGUACAAAAGCCUACACAUAUAACUAUAUUCAAGUCUCUGGAAUACCCAUAUCUCCGGAACUGCAACAUUGACGACAUCAAAGUCAUUGAUUGGAUCUGCAUUGGAUCAAAGCUGAUAUGACAAUCUGAAUCGAACAAAUACCUGAACGAAACAAAAACGACAAACAACGCCGCACAAAGUUGACGAACAAAACAACGUCGCACUAAGAUGACGAAAUCACGAAAGAAAAAACGAAAUAAAUUUGAAAAUCACUUAUAUCAACAAAAGGGAAAAGAUGAAAACGAGUUAAAGGAGUGAUUUUGGAUAAAAAAAUUGACCCAAAAUCACCCUUCAUUAAUAGAUGAAGGAGAAGAAACUAAGAUUUUGAUGACGGCUCACAAGAGAGAAGGGAAGAGAGAGCUUGUGUCCUUUUUCCCUAAAAUAAUUACUUUUUGCAGUAAUAUAUUUUAUUUUUUAUUCUUAUAAAAAAACGGAAGAUAAUUUUAUAAAUCACUUAUAAUUUCACUUUUCAUACAUACUUUUAUUUAAACAAAUAAUUAUAUUAUUUUUUUGUCAAGUAGUUUGUCUAAUGACUAAAGCUCACACAAUUAAAUUGUGGAGAAGUGAAGUAUCCGGGGAUCGAACCGUAACUCUGCAUGUAAUAUGCUAGAUUCCUACCAAUUGAGCUAAGCUAAUUAUAUUUUUUAAUAUGCGUAGAAAUAGAAAGUUACGUAUAAUAAAAAACUGAGAGAGUAUUUUUGUUUAUUCUUAAACUAAUAAUGAAAUAAAGAAUAAAUUCAAAUCUUUAGCUGUACUAAAACAGAAAGUUCCUACUAAGUUCCACCGUCAAGUAUAACGGCCACAUUUUUUAACGCUCUCAUUCAACUUGAAUUGUCACACUUUUUUCUUUUUUUGGUUCAUACCACGCGCCGUAUUCUUCAACGACUAAAAUUUAAAAAAGAAGCAACCACUCUCUUUCUCUCUCCUUUCUUUCAUGUUUCUCAAAACUCCACAUAUAAACACCAUCCUCCCCUUCUCUUCAAUUCAACCUUUCAAUCCCUCAAAUAUUUCUAUAUCCAUUAUUUCAUCCUAUUUCUAAUCCUUCAAACUUUUCUUUUCCACAAUAAAAUUUAGGUGACCCGCAUCAUCAAUUUUUCUCACAUAUUAAUUAGUUAAAUUAAAAAAAAUAUUUUUAGAGAUUAGUCUCUAAUCUUCGCCCAAAUACGUGAAAUCAUCCAAAAUAUUGACUUAUUACUUUUGAAACAAUAUAACCAGAGUAUUUCAUUUGACGUAUACUUUGAGUUCAUAGGAAUUAGUCUCGAAAUAUCUUGAAACACUUACAUAAAAUGUCACGAACAAUAGAGAUAACAAUUUUGUCAGCAGAGAAUCUUCAAGAGAACAAAAAAGCCAUAAAAGGGAACACAUUCGUUACGGUUCAAUGUGACGGAAGCAACAGGGAAGUGAGCACCACGAAACUUGAUUCCGAAGGAGGAAGUUACCCUACAUGGAACGAGAAGUUGGUAAUGGAUGUGCCAUUACAUGCAAGGUUCCUAACAAUAGAGGUGAAGUACAAAACAAGAGGUAGUAGUAGCAAUAGUGUUGGAAUGGCUAGAAUACCUGUUUCCGAUUUUCUUGGAGGGUAUGUGCAUGAAAAUCAAUUGCAAUUUUUAAGUUAUAGGUUGUGGGAUAAUAGAGUUAGGAGAAAUGGGGUUGUAAAUAUUUCAGUAAAGGUAAAAAUGUCCCAACAAAAUUCUUGCUCGAGUUCG
Molecule: long non-coding RNA, 16490 nt
Filed under: Medicago truncatula (barrel medic)
Lineage: Eukaryota; Viridiplantae; Streptophyta; Magnoliopsida; Fabales; Fabaceae
Description: long non-coding RNA (MTRU_LNC006033)
Rfam family: MIR2606 microRNA precursor family (bases 5204-5368)
Source: RNAcentral